GUAAAAAAUUUCUGUAAAUUUACAUGAAAAUUCAACAGCAAAAUGCUGUUUUCGUGUAAUAACAGUAAGUUGCUGUUUUUUACAGUGCAUUGUGGGUAGACUUGCUCACUUCAGGUCGGUUGUCGAGCAACAACAGAAUGUCACUGUUAUUUAACAGUAUUAUAGCAUAUUUUUCGUUGUGCACGCCAUUUUGGAUUGUCUGCAUGAGGUAGGUCUGCAACUUUAUCGAUGCUUGUGCUAUUUUAAAAUUACAUAUUACUUUUGAAUAUUGCGUUUUAUCCAGUGAAGCUUUAAAACAACAAAAUCAGAUUCCAUUUCCUAUUUUAAUCAGGCAAAGGGGGUAUUCUACCAUCACAUCAGUUACACUCACAUCAGAUCACAGGUAAGAAUUCACCAAAGUUAUUUCCAACAUGUUAAUUUUACUAAAAUCUGUGUAAAAGAUGAAUGAGGAAUGAUCAAAAUCAAUGAUUGGUUUUGUGUCUUUACAUUUUUUAUGUGUGCAUUCUGUCUAUGCAAGUGAAAGAUACGCUUGUGUUAUCUGCAAAUUCGCCUGUUAUUUGUAUUAUCUUAAAAUCCUUUUAAAAUCCAUUGUUAAGUAUAUCUACAAAUAACACUAAAAGAUCUGUUGUAAAUUCAUUACAUGCUGGUUAGCUGGUUGAAACAUCCUGUUGUAUGUGGCACGCUUUUAUCGGUGGUAAGACACAUUAAGUUUAUAAAAUGGACAUGUAUCCCGGCUUCAUGUAAGUUAUGGUAAGUGGGGUAUAUGAAUUCGUUAUUAUAGUCUGAUUACACAAAAAAUUAAACAAAGGCACCCUUAUACAUAAGACUUAAGCAGUCCAAAUGGUUCUUGGUGAAAACCAAAUGUAACUCAUUUCAUUCACUGUGCAUCUAGAAGCCUCUUGCAAACAUGAUUUCAAACUUGAUAGGUCAUCAUGCAUCAAGUACAAGAAAGUGCAGUCAAACUUGAAUUCAUGAUUAUGGUUAGAAACUGAUGUAUAAAAAGUGUUACAGUUUUGUCUGUUGCAAAACCAAUUGAAUCGCAUCAAAAGAUUACUACUUGACUCAUCUGAAUUACUUUUAUCCUCCAUGUAGGGUUAUUUUGGUGCUUUGGUGCUAUUUUGGUCCCUAUUCCCUGCAUUGUAUAGACAAACAAAUAUUGCAUAUAUUAUUAAGAUGUGUGCCACUCCUGCUGACUUUGAGGAGACUAGUAACUUGUGACACCUCGUUUGAUCCUGUUUGCAUCUUUGGCUAUAUUCAUGGCGAGUACUGGUUAAUCCAUAUACAAGUUUUUAUUUACACAAGUCAAUCCAGACACUGGUUGGGGUAGAGACAAUUUGGCAUCUGUGAGUACCUAGCUGGGGCUCGAACCAGGGAUCUUCUUGCUGUGCCUUUUACUAUCAGGAGAACAUCAAGCUUUAUGUGCCUCAUUCUGGAGGCCACCGUAUUUUAAACAUGUUUAAUGUGUGACAAACUGCCAGUGCUUGCAUAUUCUUCUCACUGCCUUUUCUACACUUAGCUCUCCAGAUAUUAAGGAUUAUACAUUAAUCUAUACAUUCAUUUGGUCCAGGUGAUACUUGGGACAAUGGAUUAAACAAUGGAUGAUCAGCCUGAAAGCCAAAAGAAUCUGCAAGGGUGUUCAGCCAAUGUGUCUCACUGGACUUACUGCAUUGUGUAUUACAUCUCAACUUGCAAAAGUGAAAGCAGCAUCCACACUGGAAGUCCUUCAAAGACGCUUCAUUAAUCAAACCAGAAAAGGGAACCAAGGCUGCAAAGGGAAAAGUGACCUCUAAAACAAGAAAACUGCAAAAGAAGACCAUCAACAGUCAGUCUCAAACUAUCAAAUCUUUUAAAAAGACUUAUGGACUUGGUACUUCAUUUAAAAUGUAGCUGACACUUCCCACCAAUACAGCUUUUUUUUAAAUAUGGUGGGCUGCAGCCUGCAGUGAUGGCAGGUGACUUCUCUGAGGGGGCACGAAUGCAAAGCUAGCCAAAACAUUGUCAUGUGUGUGGCUCCUCAUUUCAAAAUGUGUGUUCGGCGCGUCAUGUGAACUUGUGCAUCGCGUGUCAUUCCAAAAUACGUGCCUGCUCCAGACACUUUGAAGGGGAUUAUGAUAAAAUGCUCGCUUUUGCAGAUAAUCUCAUGUGUAAACAGAGUUUAGUGUUAAAUGAGUGUCUUGCGAAUCAUGUGUCAUGUGAAUGUCUCUUUUAUUCUUUAUCAUAUUCAAAGCGUUUGUGGCAGGCAUGUAUUUUGACAUGAUGUGCGAUGCAUAUAAUUCACAUUACACCCCGAACACAUAUUUUGCAUUCAGGCAACCACUGGUGGGGUGGUGUUUUUUAUACUGGUUUGUAUAUUAUAGACCAUGUUUUCAUAUUUAAAAUUGGGCUGGUGUCUGUUAAAGAAUUAGUGAAUUAAGGUUUUAUUGAAUUCUUCUAAAAAUGUGGUGUUUUUACAGUUGUGAAACUUUUGUGCUUUUUUGAAAUCUAAAUUUUAAACUACAUUUGUAUUUUAAGUAAAAUAUUGUUCUUUGUUUGUUUGAUUUUUUUUUUAAUUUUUGUAUUUUAGUAUGUUAUUGGUGCCUUUUUGUUGCACCACAGUUUAUGCAGUGAAUAUUAAAAUAUAUCUGCUUGUAUUUCUGCCUGUUUUAUGGCAUAACACAGUCAAUCUGGGGUUGAAUAGAAUAAAGAAUAAAAAAUGCAUAACCUGGCCUUUUUUGUUUUAUGUUAACCACUUUGACAAAUUUAAAAUGCAGGGUAUAAUAGCAUUUAAAUAAAAAAAUUAUGAAGUUGUGACUGUAAAUGAACAGGUAUAUGAUGCUAAAUAACAGUUUUAUGCUGUAGAUAACAAAAACAGUAUCAUGCUAUUAAAUAACAGCUGUAUUCUAUAGAUAACACAAACAGUACCAUGCUGUUAAAAUAACAGUUGACUGCUGUAGGUAACAAAACGGUAUCAUGAUGUUUUUCCUAAUAACAGCAUCCCGCUGUAAAUUAACAGUGCAAUGCUGGCAACCACAGCUUCCAGCAUAAUACCGUUUUUUUACAGGGAAAUUUUUUACAGUGUAUAUAUAUAUAUACAUAUACAUAUAUAU
This is a long non-coding RNA of Paramisgurnus dabryanus, 3086 nucleotides long. RefSeq lists it as uncharacterized. The record is from RefSeq and is a predicted model, not a curated record. NCBI's taxonomy places the organism in Eukaryota, Metazoa, Chordata, Actinopteri, Cypriniformes, Cobitidae.